UCUAAAGAUUGGUGGAAUGAU
RNAcentral lists this non-coding RNA (21 nucleotides) under Arabidopsis thaliana (thale cress). The record is from RNAcentral. Lineage: Eukaryota; Viridiplantae; Streptophyta; Magnoliopsida; Brassicales; Brassicaceae.